This 808-nucleotide long non-coding RNA is filed under the name Dermacentor andersoni. Its description in RNAcentral is "uncharacterized LOC126528436". The record is from RNAcentral. Lineage: Eukaryota; Metazoa; Arthropoda; Arachnida; Ixodida; Ixodidae.
AGGUAUUCAAGAAAUGGCAACAGCCAGAAGUUGCCAUCUUAUCCAGCACGUUAUGGGUACACUCUGGCGGCUCCUACCCCUGCGUCCUACCACCACCCUCUCCCGACUACGUCCACUAGGGAGUUGGAAGCCUUAGUGAUGAUGCCAAGCAGGCUGACAGCAGACAGAAAUAUUCAGGUUGCCUUGAAAUUUUACCCAAGCCAUGCCACAUACUCGGGCCAGGCCUCUUGCGAACUACGUAUAACCAGGCUCAACACAUCAGUGUCGAGUGAGUCCGGAUAUCAAGGAAACCUGCUGUGCAACCAUCGCGCAACACUUGGUGACCCCUCUACGUGUUCCAUCUAUUUCACAGCUGUACCUCAGUUUCCAUCUAUCCAAACAGCAUCACCAGCUGUUUCUUAUCUUAUCGAUCACUUAUCGAACCAUGGAUGAAUGUUGGGGUGGAGUGAUUUGAGCAGACAUUCUAUUUGUCUCUUCAAAUUCUUUGCAUAUAUUUCUAUUAUUAUAAUUCAUAUGUUUCUUUAGUACCUAGUUUUUAAUAGUUCCUUUCUCGUAGAGUUCUGACCAUCAACUCCUGCUAUUAUAAUGUAUACCUGUCUUUAUGCCCCGUUUCUCAUAGUUCUUUUGUGCUUGUGGAUGUAAUUGAUAGGUUCUUAAUUCUUGUUGUACAGAAGGCUAAAAUGCAAACUUACGGUAUUUUUCCUUCCUUUGAUAACCUACAGCACUGCAAUGUGUUCAAGAAAUUUAACAUAACACGGGCUCUGGUGCAGGAUAAAUUUAAGAGCAAUAUAGCGUACUUAUUUCAAGC